RNAcentral lists this ribosomal RNA (1341 nucleotides) under Parnassius apollonius. Its description in RNAcentral is "16S ribosomal RNA". The stretch from base 1077 to 1236 matches the Rfam family "Eukaryotic large subunit ribosomal RNA", at positions 2825 to 2984 of the family's 3401-position model. Lineage: Eukaryota; Metazoa; Arthropoda; Insecta; Lepidoptera; Papilionidae. The record is from RNAcentral.
GGGGGAUAAAUUAAUAAAGUAUAAAUAAUAAAAAAAUUUUUAAUAUUAAAAUAUUUUAAUGGGGGUUAAAGUAUAUUUAAUAGAAAAAAUAAAAAAAUUUAUAGAAAAUUAGUAUUGUAAAAGAAAUUUGAAAUAAAUUGAAAAUAAAUUUAUUUUUAAGUAAAUUUAAUUUAUUGUAUCUUGUGUAUCAGAGUUUAUUAAUAAUAAUUUUUUUUUAAAAAUUUCUCGAAUUUAAAAGAGAUAAUUAGUUAUUAAAGUUAAUGUUGUAUAAUUAUUUUAAAUAAUUAAUUUGAAAUGAAAUGUUAAUCGUUUUUAAAUAUAUCUAGUUUUUUUAGAAAAAAAUUUAAUUUUAAAUUUUAAAAAAUAUAAUUUUAAUUAAUUAAAAUUAUAUUUUUAAAAUUAAAUAUUUUAAGGGAUAAGCUUUAAAAUAAAUUUUUAUAAUAAAUUUUAAUAAUAAUUAAGAUUUUUAAAAUUUAUAUUGUUUAUAAAUUAUAAUUUUUUAUAAAUAAUUUUAAUUAAAUUAAAAUUUUAAAAUUUAUUUAAUUUUUUAUAAAAAAAUAUUUUUUAAUAAUUAAAAUUUAGAUAUAAUGAUAAAAUUAGUAUAUAAAUGAAUAAAUAUAGUUUAUUAUUUGAUAAUUUAAAAAAAGGAAUUCGGCAAAAAUUUAUAUUCACUUGUUUAUCAAAAACAUGUCUUUUUGAUUAAUAAUUUAAAGUCUAAUCUGCCCACUGAUAAUAUAUUAAAGGGCUGCAGUAUUUUGACUGUACAAAGGUAGCAUAAUCAUUAGUCUUUUAAUUGGUGACUUGUAUGAAAGAUUUGAUGAAAUAUAUACUGUCUUUUUUUAAUUUAUAAAAUUUAAUUUUUUAGUUAAAAAGCUAAAAUAAAUUUAAAAGACGAGAAGACCCUAUAGAGUUUUAUAUUUAUAUAAAUUAAAAUUUUUUAUAAGAUUUAAAAUUUUAAUUUAUGUAAAUAUUUUAUUGGGGUGAUAGAAAAAUUAGAAUAACUUUUUUUAUAAUUUUACAUUAAUAAAUGAAUAAAUGAUCCGUAAUUUACGAUUAUAAGAUAAAAUUACCUUAGGGAUAACAGCGUAAUUUUUUUUUUUAGUUCAAAUAAAAAAAAAAGUUUGCGACCUCGAUGUUGGAUUAAAAUAAAAUUUAAAUGCAAAAGUUUAAAAUUUUUGAUCUGUUCGAUCAUUAAAAUCUUACAUGAUCUGAGUUCAAACCGGUGUAAGCCAGGUUGGUUUCUAUCUUUAAAUUAAUAAAAUAUUUUAGUACGAAAGGAUCAAAUAUUUAAAAUAGUUUUAUUUAAAAAAAUUUUAAUAAUAAUAAAUAUUUUUAAAUAUG